UCCGUUAUGGUGUAGUGGCUAACAUUAUCGCCUCUCAUACUGCAAUUGAGUGGAGAAGCAUUCUAGCGCGAUAGCCCAGGGUUCGAUUCCCUGUAACGGAA
Marasmius sp. AFHP31 is the source of this 101-nucleotide non-coding RNA. The record is from the annotation of a GenBank genome assembly. Lineage: Eukaryota; Fungi; Basidiomycota; Agaricomycetes; Agaricales; Marasmiaceae.